CAGUCGCCACGGGAACACGAAGGGGGCUAGCGUUGUUCGGAUUUACUGGGCGUAAAGCGCACGUAGGCGGAUCGAUCAGUCAGGGGUGAAAUCCCAGAGCUCAACUCUGGAACUGCCUUUGAUACUGUCGAUCUGGAGUAUGGAAGAGGUGAGUGGAAUUCCGAGUGUAGAGGUGAAAUUCGUAGAUAUUCGGAGGAACACCAGUGGCGAAGGCGGCUCACUGGUCCAUUACUGACGCUGAGGUGCGAAAGCGUGGGGAGCAAACAGGAUUAGAUACCCCCGUAGUCCCUGUCUCUUAUAA
Molecule: ribosomal RNA, 301 nt
Filed under: uncultured bacterium
Lineage: Bacteria
Description: partial 16S ribosomal RNA
Rfam family: Bacterial small subunit ribosomal RNA
Source: RNAcentral